This 488-nucleotide long non-coding RNA is filed under the name Takifugu rubripes (torafugu). RNAcentral's name for it is "lncRNA (ENSTRUG00000027590.1)". The record is from RNAcentral. Lineage: Eukaryota; Metazoa; Chordata; Actinopteri; Tetraodontiformes; Tetraodontidae.
GGUGGGAAUUUUUUUUCCUCCAAAUUGUCUAAAUUAGCUGCUGCUAGCUUAAUCAGCGCUAAAGACUGACUGCGUUGAAAUGUUCGUAUUUUCACUUUUGAAAGGUUUUAGAAACUUUGUGGGGCAACUUCAAGACCUUCAAGACCACAGUUGUUCUGCUGGUUUCACCCAGGUGGGAAACAUUAACAAUUGCUAACGUUAACUGUUAUUGAAGACGCUACAGCCGAGCUUCUUCCGAACUUGUUUCUUGCCUUCCAGAUCACCUGAGAUCCACCUCCGAUCCAAACAGGUCUGCAGAGGCAGGAAGUGCCUCCUCACCUCAGCCACUAAUUAAAGAGGCAUUAGCCAGUGACAGAUGGUCCCCGGUCGGACAUGAGAGUGAGGAAAGUGGGGCAGCAGCCGAGCUUCCCCAGUGGAUGCUGGACCAGCGCUCACAAACACAGCGAGAGAGGACCGCAGAUGGCCCGGAACCCUUUCCAGGGUUCAUC